This 260-nucleotide non-coding RNA is filed under the name Paenalicyclobacillus ferrooxydans. RNAcentral describes it as "Alicyclobacillus ferrooxydans T-box sequence". It matches the Rfam family "T-box leader". From Rfam's summary of the family: Uncharged tRNA acts as the effector for transcription antitermination of genes in the T-box leader family. T-boxes are found upstream of many aminoacyl-tRNA synthetase genes and some amino acid biosynthetic genes usually in Gram-positive bacteria. The record is from RNAcentral. Lineage: Bacteria; Bacillati; Bacillota; Bacilli; Caryophanales; Alicyclobacillaceae.
CGUGUUGCAGUGAAGAGAAGGAGUAGGCGGGUCAUGGCUGUCCAGAGAGUCUGGCGAAUGCUGCGAGUCAGACCAGUGCAUCCGGCCGAACGUCGUCUUGGAGCAAUGUUGUCCGCAGAAGCGGACACCGGAUCAUCCCGUUAUCGAUGACGAGUGUUCUGGUUUCAUACACGUUCAGUGCGCAUAAAUACAGCCGGUGUGCGUGUAUGAGUACAGGAAAUUCAGGUGGUACCGCGGAAUCAAAGCCUUCCGUCCUGACA